CACGUAGGGGGCAAGCGUUGUCCGGAUUUAUUGGGCGUAAAGAGCUCGUAGGCGGCUUGGUAAGUCAGGUGUGAAACCUCCAGGCUCAACCUGGAGACGCCACUUGAUACUGCCAUAGCUAGAGUCCGGUAGGGGAGCGUGGAAUUUCUGGUGUAGCGGUGAAAUGCGCAGAUAUCAGGAGGAACACCGAUGGCGAAGGCAGCUCGCUGGGACGGUACUGACGCUGAGGCGCGAAAGCGUGGGGAGCAAACAGG
Molecule: ribosomal RNA, 254 nt
Filed under: uncultured bacterium
Lineage: Bacteria
Description: partial 16S ribosomal RNA
Rfam family: Bacterial small subunit ribosomal RNA
Source: RNAcentral